Long non-coding RNA from Brachypodium distachyon (stiff brome), 1571 nucleotides. RefSeq lists it as uncharacterized. NCBI's taxonomy places the organism in Eukaryota, Viridiplantae, Streptophyta, Magnoliopsida, Poales, Poaceae. The record is from RefSeq and is a predicted model, not a curated record. The transcript is spliced from 2 exons.
AGGACGUGCAUUGCUCUCACGCCAUAGGAUCCACCAGACGCCAAAACCUCCACGGCAUCUACACCCACGGUAUAUGCCAACCACGUGUACAUCCAUCUUUUACUUAAUCUCUCUCCUGUGUCAUUAGCAGAUGGAUUUCCAUCAUUCCUCUCUCCUCUCUGCCAUGCCACAGCUCUGUUCUCACACACCCUUCGUCCCUCCCUCCGUACUGCCCAUGGCGAGAUGCAGCCGCCGCGCAGGCUGCCUCCCCUUGCAGUCGCCUGCCAGCCGGCUGUGAAGGCGCAGCUGCUCUUAGCUAGGCUUGCUCCUCCUUGGUGUGCUCUGCUCUGAGUGUGUGCCAGGUCGAGGAAGUAAGGGGCUAGCUGGGAAGAGGGGGAUGUGAGGGGCGCUCGCGGUGGGAAGAAAGAAAGGAUUGAGUCUGGUUACCGAAACCCCCCUUGGCACUGCUCGAGCGUGCCCGCACGGCCGUGGACGAGGCUGACGGCGCCCUUGCGGUCGAUGACGAAAACGAACCAGACUGCGGUCACCUCGGCGCGCACUCUGGCUCGCCGGCGACUACGUCGUUCUUGGAAUCAAGCAUGGCCUCAUAAAGGCGAUUCACCACAGCGUCGAAUGACGACAGCAGCGCCGCAGCGCCUGGUUCCCGUGCUGUGCACCUAGUCCACGAGGUGCGUCCCCUCCUCUGCCGGUGCGCUCCACGCGAGCUGCUUCAACUCAGAUAGCCUUCGCAGGUGCGAGCAGCAAGGGCGUUUGCCGUGCCACGGCUUCCGGCAGGAACGACGAGGGGGUGGGCACCUGUUGCGGCCGACGCCAUAUGACCCCGGCAACGACGACAAAUCUCGCGCGCGACCAAUCCACCGGAGAUCCAGACAAUAUGGCUUCGUGCUCGCCCGCGCGCCGAUCGAGUGCCACCGCAGCCUCGCCUGCAUGCUGCGUGCUCCUCCCAUGGCUCCCGUAGAGGCCGUGCGGGUCCAAGUUCUUCUUCACCGGCGCAUCGUCCGGCGGCCGCCGUCACGACUCACGCCGCGAGACGAGGGGAUGGAGGCAAGGGUUCCCGUUCAGAUCAGGGUUAGACUGCUCACCGCCGCUUUCAUGCCUGUAGAUCUCGGCUGGGUCCUCCUCGGUGGCAGAGAUACGCGGCGUCGACGGCGAGGCUGAAGCGGCGGUCGUGCUGCUAAGGCAGGCGGCAUCGGCCAGCCCCUUGCUGUGCGCUCCUGAUGAAGCUCGACCCUCUCGUCUCCUCCCUUUCCCUCUACGACAUCGCAGCCACCCACGGCGUCGAGGAUGGAAGCAAGGGCGGUCAGAGCGUCGGACUAUGGUUGAGAAGUUACUUGGUAUUAUUGUCGAUUGUAAUCGUAGUAUACUAAAAAUUGAUGAAGUACUGUGAUUGAGAAGGUACUUGGUAUUGUUGAUUGUAAUUGUAGUGUCGAUGAGUAUUGAUAUGAUACUAAAAUUGAUGAUAUAUUGUCAACUAUCCCGAUGGAAUUGACAUGUAUUCUGAUGUAUCUGCUAUAUACUAGGAUGUACAACUGGACUAGGUACUAAAUAUUGAGAUUACGUACAUUCAUUAA